RNAcentral lists this transfer-messenger RNA (371 nucleotides) under Nocardia farcinica IFM 10152. Its description in RNAcentral is "putative tmRNA". It matches the Rfam family "transfer-messenger RNA". From Rfam's summary of the family: Bacterial tmRNA, also known as 10Sa RNA or SsrA, is named for its dual tRNA and mRNA-like properties. Lineage: Bacteria; Bacillati; Actinomycetota; Actinomycetes; Mycobacteriales; Nocardiaceae. The record is from RNAcentral.
GGGGCUGAACGGUUUCGACUGCGUACGUUGAUUCAGGGGAAGCGUGUCGGUGCAGGCAAGAGACCACCGUAAGCGUCGCUGCAACCAAUUAAGCGCCGAUUCUCAUCAGCGCGAGUACGCUCUCGCUGCCUAAGCGAAGCGUCUCUGUCGGCCCGGGAUAUGCCCUCGGUCCCGGUGCCGGCAUCAGCUAGAGGGCUCACCGUCCGCCUCGGUCGCGGAGACGGACGGGACAUCCAACAGCGACUGGGAUCGUCAUCUCGGCUUGUUCGCGUGACCGAGAGAUCCGAGCAGAGACACAGCGAACUGCACACGGAGAAGCCCUGAAGACGCGGCGGAGGACCCGGGUUCGAUUCCCGGCAGCUCCACGACAG